AUCAGAAGUGUGUUACUACUGCAUCUUGCUAUCCAAUUUGUUCAAGUCUAUGCUAAGAAAAGCUCAGAAUGAUACGAUUCUGACACUAAACAAAAUGCCUGUAGUUCUGCGAGUGAAUGAAUGAAAUUUCCUCAGAGCUAGAAAUUUUACUUUCACCUGGUUCUGCAAGCAACUAAGUAUCCAGUUUCAUCUAAAUCGCUGGAGAUGUUCAUUACUAAAUUCUCAGAACAUUCCACCCACAGUGAGUAACCAAUUCACAUGACUGCUGGAAUAGCAUGAAUAAUACCUAAGAAAUAAAAAUGUACAUGAGGAAAACCAACCAUCCAAAGAGACAGUAAAUGAGAGGUUAAAAAUAAUGUCAGACUGUCAGACUCCCAGCUGAAAGCCUGAAGUUCUUGAAGGCUACAGGAGUAUUUCUUAAAUUCAGUACUUGGCUUUCUUAAAACAAAACAAAACUUUUUUAUAUUGCUUGAGAAGAGAAUCAUGGAGAUAUUUUAGAUGCAAUGAAUCCAACAUUUGCAAUAAAACAGCAUGCCUACACAAGCUCUGUAUGAUAACAUAUUCCUUCAAAAUCUGAAAGCUUCCCCUGAGAAAAGAGGAAGGCACUGUCCCCAUGCCUUCUGAUCACCAAGAGCCCCAGCUGGUGGUAGUUACCUCCCCAGGGAAGGAGGGCAGGCUGGGAUGCUGCUUUUACAUGGUGAAGAAAUGUUAGUUGCUUGCUGCCCAAGGGGUCAAGGAAGUGAGUAUUGUGGUUAACUCAUGGAAGCUCACGGAAUUGCCUCAAAACGUGUCUGGUCUCCUGCUUUGUCUUCCCCCAGCUAUCAAGGUCCAAUGUGGCUGAUUCCAAUGAAACUGUUGGUUGCAGUGCCAGAGCUGCUAUAGUUUCUUCACUGUCUGAAGAAACUGAAUUCUAGAAAAGAACUAAAAUGAUCUGACCCAUGCUGUGCUGUUCUGUAUUUGACAGUGGAAUCCGAUUAGGACUGAAUUCAGCUGUGGUUAUCAUCUAUCUAGCAAACUGUUUGUGUGUUUUGGGAAGACUUGUGCAAAGACUGCACCAAAAAUAAUCUAGGGAGUCCAGCCACAAGGUAAAAUAUGGAAUUCUCACAUAUCAAGCAAUGCCCAGGAGAAAAAGAAAUUUGCCUUAGAAUGACUAUUGGAAUAGCUGAUUUUUAAGACUUGCUGGACUUCUUAGUUCCAAAGAGGAUGUUUUGCCAUCUAAAUGGUGUGCCCUAAUGUAUCAAACCAAACACUAAAUAAAUUAUUAAGCCUGUGUGGGCUGCUUAUUUCC
Molecule: long non-coding RNA, 1288 nt
Filed under: Anas platyrhynchos platyrhynchos (common mallard)
Lineage: Eukaryota; Metazoa; Chordata; Aves; Anseriformes; Anatidae
Description: lncRNA (ENSAPLG00000026001.1)
Source: RNAcentral